GUGCUUUAUUUUUGGCAGCACAUAUACUAAAAUUGGAAUGAUGCAGAGGAGAGUAACAUGCUCCUGUGCAAAGGACACACAAAUUCGUGAAGUAGUCCAUAUUUUU
RNAcentral lists this small nuclear RNA (106 nucleotides) under Spermophilus dauricus (Daurian ground squirrel). The record is from RNAcentral. Lineage: Eukaryota; Metazoa; Chordata; Mammalia; Rodentia; Sciuridae.